AGAGUUUGAUCCUGGCUCAGGAUGAACGCUAGCUACAGGCUUAACACAUGCAAGUCGAGGGGCAGCAUCAUCAAAGCUUGCUUUGAUGGAUGGCGACCGGCGCACGGGUGAGUAACACGUAUCCAACCUGCCGACAACACUGGGAUAGCCUUUCGAAAGAAAGAUUAAUACCGGGUGGCAUAAUUAUUCCGCAUGGGAUAAUUAUUAAAGAAUUUCGGUUGUCGAUGGGGAUGCGUUCCAUUGGG
RNAcentral lists this ribosomal RNA (245 nucleotides) under uncultured bacterium. Its description in RNAcentral is "partial 16S ribosomal RNA". It matches the Rfam family "Bacterial small subunit ribosomal RNA", at positions 8 to 245 of the family's 1533-position model. The record is from RNAcentral.